CAUCAAGAUCAUGAUGCGGAAACCCAUAGAGACAGCUGAUCCAAGCUAGUGGGAACUCACGGACUCUGGACUGACAGCGAGGGAGCCUGCAUGGGAUCGGUCUAGACCCUCUAUAUACGGGAAACAGUUGUGCAGCUGGGCCUGUUUAAGGAGCCCUGGAAGUGUGAUUAGGAUGUAUCCCUGUUUUUUUGCAGAUUAUUUAACAGUCUGAGAAGUUUCCAGCUGUCAUCAAUCACAGCACAAUUUCAGAUCUAUCCGAAGCCAGGAAAUUCCAUGUCUCUAUUUGCCUCUCUGGGGGAGCAUUUUCACAUGUUUGUCAUAGAUGAGGAAUAUUUCUGGUAGUAACCAUUCACUUCAGGACACAUCCUUCUGUAGUAGAGCCACACCUGUGUUUCUGGCUGUUUUCUUCAAAUUACGGGAAGAACAUCAUCCCCAUUAUACAAAAAUACUUUCUCAAUUGCCACAACAGAAGAAAAUGCAUACAAAUACCUACUCAACUGUACUGAAAAUAAUAUGAUUAUACUUGAGCAAUCCCUCUUAGCAACCAACAUUUUUUGAAAGGCCACCUCCACUUGUGAUCUCCUCCAAAGAAAAGAAGAAGAAAAUAAAAAUAAAUGAAAGAAAAUGGAAAACCAAGUGCAAAUUACUCACUGUAAUAGCCGAACUGUACUCACUGUAGCAUAGCCGAACUCUGAAUGGUCAGCCCCUUAAAGAAAACUAAGACCUCUGUGCCCAACCCUUCCAGAAACCAUAAAUUCUGAAGAGCUUCCCUUCAGGAUCCCUAUCACAAACUUUAAGGAUUCUCUUCAAUGGCUUCAUGUCUAGACUGCUUUCUUUUGUUGGGGGAUGAGAGAAGUCACAGAAGCCUCUGGCUGGAAGAAGGACCAGGGAUGUCAUCAUUACUUUCAUUAGCAGUACAGGCCACAGACAUCAACACUGCCUCAGGUGGCUGCACAGGCUAUGCACAUUAACUUGGACCCCGAUUACAACAUGGCCCACAGACAUCAGCAUGGUUUCAGCUGGCGGCAGAGUCCAUGGAAACCAACUUGGCCCUUCAUAGGACUGCAACAUGGCCUCGGGCUUUGUUUCUAACUCAAAGGGUAAAUUAAACUCCUGAAGUUGGACCCAAUUAAUACAUAAUUAUUUGGUUUAGAACUUCUGUAAUAUAAUCCAAUUAUAUGAGUUCUUCCUAUAAUAGAAUACAUUCUGAUGUCUUUACAAUGAAGAAAAUCUGGAGUUCAGGACAUACUGAAGUUUGGGUGUGAAGACAACUUGAAAUCAUAAUGGUAUACUAAAAGACAGGGCAUACAUACAAUGACGGUGAUCAACUAUGACUGAGAUGACAAUAUUAAAAGGUCUUUUAUGGCAUUCAGAAAGAGACUAUACUGUUGACAACUUAAAUGAAAAUAUCAUUUCCAGAUAUGAGGAUGUAACGGAACAAGCUGUUUUACAUAUACACUGUUGAGGAUAAUGUAUUAUGGAAGUUCUAAGAAAAUAAUAAGUGUCCUGACUUAGUGACUAAGAUAAUAUUUGGAAGUUGGCAUUGAUUAUUAUCAGAGCACUUGUAAGACAGGUCUGCAAAUUCUACAAGUAAGUUUGACUUCAUUUUGAUUCCAAGUAAGAUUUACAUUAAUGAAGAUAAUUUGUCUGGGAGUUAGGAAUAGUUGAUUAUUGAGUCAUACAUACAAUUUUAUACCAUUCUUGUUGUGUUAAUGAAAGAUAAAUAUACUAUAUGAUUUGUCA
Peromyscus maniculatus bairdii (prairie deer mouse) is the source of this 1743-nucleotide non-coding RNA. Lineage: Eukaryota; Metazoa; Chordata; Mammalia; Rodentia; Cricetidae. The record is from RefSeq and is a predicted model, not a curated record.